This 962-nucleotide ribosomal RNA is filed under the name Herbaspirillum sp. Its description in RNAcentral is "bacterial SSU rRNA". It matches the Rfam family "Bacterial small subunit ribosomal RNA", at positions 327 to 1287 of the family's 1533-position model. The record is from RNAcentral. Lineage: Bacteria; Pseudomonadati; Pseudomonadota; Betaproteobacteria; Burkholderiales; Oxalobacteraceae.
CGGCCCAGACUCCUACGGGAGGCAGCAGUGGGGAAUUUUGGACAAUGGGGGCAACCCUGAUCCAGCAAUGCCGCGUGAGUGAAGAAGGCCUUCGGGUUGUAAAGCUCUUUUGUCAGGGAAGAAACGGGUGAGGCUAAUAUCCUUGCCUAAUGACGGUACCUGAAGAAUAAGCACCGGCUAACUACGUGCCAGCAGCCGCGGUAAUACGUAGGGUGCAAGCGUUAAUCGGAAUUACUGGGCGUAAAGCGUGCGCAGGCGGUUGUGUAAGACAGAUGUGAAAUCCCCGGGCUCAACCUGGGAAUUGCAUUUGUGACUGCACGGCUAGAGUGUGUCAGAGGGGGGUAGAAUUCCACGUGUAGCAGUGAAAUGCGUAGAUAUGUGGAGGAAUACCGAUGGCGAAGGCAGCCCCCUGGGAUAACACUGACGCUCAUGCACGAAAGCGUGGGGAGCAAACAGGAUUAGAUACCCUGGUAGUCCACGCCCUAAACGAUGUCUACUAGUUGUCGGGUCUUAAUUGACUUGGUAACGCAGCUAACGCGUGAAGUAGACCGCCUGGGGAGUACGGUCGCAAGAUUAAAACUCAAAGGAAUUGACGGGGACCCGCACAAGCGGUGGAUGAUGUGGAUUAAUUCGAUGCAACGCGAAAAACCUUACCUACCCUUGACAUGGUCGGAAUCCCGAAGAGAUUUGGGAGUGCUCGAAAGAGAACCGAUACACAGGUGCUGCAUGGCUGUCGUCAGCUCGUGUCGUGAGAUGUUGGGUUAAGUCCCGCAACGAGCGCAACCCUUGUCAUUAGUUGCUACGAAAGGGCACUCUAAUGAGACUGCCGGUGACAAACCGGAGGAAGGUGGGGAUGACGUCAAGUCCUCAUGGCCCUUAUGGGUAGGGCUUCACACGUCAUACAAUGGUACAUACAGAGGGCCGCCAACCCGCGAGGGGGAGCUAAUCCCAGAAAGUGUAUC